AAAGAAGGGAUGCCCAAAGGUGGUUGUGCGUAAGAGAUACUAUGGCAUGGAAAAGGGAUUUCAAAGUGAAAAAAAAGUUGGGAUGCCCCCUCUUCCUAUCUUUUCUUUCUUACAACUAAUCGUUGGUUGUUGAAGGUAACCUCCUCUCUCUCCCUUAUCCAAGAGUUGAAUAUGUCUCCCUCUUCCUUUCUUCCAAAGAUGUCCAACAGUUGGACAUGAUUUAAAUUAGAUUUGAUCUGAUUUAUUUUUGGUUCAUGAGAUGGACGGUUCUUCUGUACCUUUUUUAGAUCUAGUCCAAGGGUUG
Molecule: long non-coding RNA, 304 nt
Filed under: Elaeis guineensis (African oil palm)
Lineage: Eukaryota; Viridiplantae; Streptophyta; Magnoliopsida; Arecales; Arecaceae
Description: long non-coding RNA (EGUI_LNC060426)
Source: RNAcentral